GGGGGAUAACGACGGGAAACUGUCGCUAAUACCGCGUAUUAUCGGAAGAUGAAAGUGCGGGACUGAGAGGCCGCAUGCCAUAGGAUGAGCCCAAGUGGGAUUAGGUAGUUGGUGGGGUAAAGGCCUACCAAGCCUGCGAUCUCUAGCUGGUCUGAGAGGAUGACCAGCCACACUGGAACUGAGACACGGUCCAGACUCCUACGGGAGGCAGCAGUGGGGAAUAUUGCGCAAUGGGGGGAACCCUGACGCAGCCAUGCCGCGUGAAUGAAGAAGGCCUUAGGGUUGUAAAGUUCUUUCGGUAUUGAGGAAGGUUGAUGUGUUAAUAGCACAUCAAAUUGACGUUAAAUACAGAAGAAGCACCGGCUAACUCCGUGCCAGCAGCCGCGGUAAUACGGAGGGUGCGAGCGUUAAUCGGAAUAACUGGGCGUAAAGGGCACGCAGGCGGUUAUUUAAGUGAGGUGUGAAAGCCCCGGGCUUAACCUGGGAAUUGCAUUUCAGACUGGGUAACUAGAGUACUUUAGGGAGGGGUAGAAUUCCACGUGUAGCGGUGAAAUGCGUAGAGAUGUGGAGGAAUACCGAAGGCGAAGGCAGCCCCUUGGGAAUGUACUGACGCUCAUGUGCGAAAGCGUGGGGAGCAAACAGGAUUAGAUACCCUGGUAGUCCACGCUGUAAACGCUGUCGAUUUGGGGGUUGGGGUUUAACUCUGGCGCCCGUAGCUAACGUGAUAAAUCGACCGCCUGGGGAGUACGGCCGCAAGGUUAAAACUCAAAUGAAUUGACGGGGGCCCGCACAAGCGGUGGAGCAUGUGGUUUAAUUCGAUGCAACGCGAAGAACCUUACCUA
This 842-nucleotide ribosomal RNA is filed under the name Haemophilus influenzae. Its description in RNAcentral is "bacterial SSU rRNA". It matches the Rfam family "Bacterial small subunit ribosomal RNA", at positions 138 to 977 of the family's 1533-position model. Lineage: Bacteria; Pseudomonadati; Pseudomonadota; Gammaproteobacteria; Pasteurellales; Pasteurellaceae. The record is from RNAcentral.